UUUAAUUCGAUGAUACGCGAGGAACCUUACCUGGGCUAGAAUGUUACUGGACCGCCUGUGAAAGCAGGUUUCCCCGCAAGGGGCCGGUAAUAAGGUGCUGCAUGGCUGUCGUCAGCUCGUGCCGUGAGGUGUUGGGUUAAGUCCCGCAACGAGCGCAACCCCCAUCACUAGUUGCCAUCAGGUAACGCUGGGAACUCUAGUGAAACUGCCGUCGUAAGACGCGAGGAAGGAGGGGAUGAUGUCAAGUCAUCAUGGCCUUCAUGCCCAGGGCUACACACGUGCUACAAUGGAGCGUACAAAGGGCUGCCACUUGGCGAUAAGGCGCCAAUCCCAAAAAACGCCUCUCAGUUCAGAUUGGAGUCUGCAACUCGACUCCAUGAAGCUGGAAUCGCUAGUAAUCGUAUAUCAGCAAUGAUA
Molecule: ribosomal RNA, 417 nt
Filed under: uncultured bacterium
Lineage: Bacteria
Description: bacterial SSU rRNA
Rfam family: Bacterial small subunit ribosomal RNA
Source: RNAcentral